GCCGACGUGGCACAAUCCGGUACUGCGCUGGCCUUGAGAGCCAGUUCCCGCAAGGGUAUCCCGGUUCAAAUCCGGGCGUCGGCG
This 84-nucleotide transfer RNA is filed under the name Candidatus Woesearchaeota archaeon. RNAcentral's name for it is "tRNA-Ser". It matches the Rfam family "tRNA". Rfam says of the family: Transfer RNA (tRNA) molecules are approximately 80 nucleotides in length. Their secondary structure includes four short double-helical elements and three loops (D, anti-codon, and T loops). Further hydrogen bonds mediate the characteristic L-shaped molecular structure. tRNAs have two regions of fundamental functional importance: the anti-codon, which is responsible for specific mRNA codon recognition, and the 3' end, to which the tRNAs corresponding amino acid is attached (by aminoacyl-tRNA synthetases). tRNAs cope with the degeneracy of the genetic code in two manners: having more than one tRNA (with a specific anti-codon) for a particular amino acid; and 'wobble' base-pairing, i.e. permitting non-standard base-pairing at the 3rd anti-codon position. The record is from RNAcentral. Lineage: Archaea; Nanobdellati; Candidatus Woesearchaeota.